Varanus komodoensis (Komodo dragon) is the source of this 754-nucleotide long non-coding RNA. RefSeq lists it as uncharacterized. NCBI's taxonomy places the organism in Eukaryota, Metazoa, Chordata, Lepidosauria, Squamata, Varanidae. The transcript is spliced from 2 exons. The record is from RefSeq and is a predicted model, not a curated record.
GAGAGAUCUUGUUGCUGGUGGUGGUGUUACCCUGAGCCUUGCCCUCGAUAAGGUGGCUCCACUAACUGCAAAGCCAACCUGUUGCGUUUUGCACUCUUUUCUAGAGAGCAUCUCUUGCGACACCUGCCUUGUGAAGAGUCGCUCCACCGGGUGCCUGACGGGGCUGGAGGGCUGCAUUACUCUCGGCGCAAAAUGCAUGACAAUCCGCAUCUUCUACAAAGGAAAGGUGAAAAUUCGUAUCCAUGGUUGUAGCAAGCGAGACAGACGGGGAUGUGGCGUGGAAAAGGAGUCUGGUGAUCACAAAAUGACAAUCAGGUGCUGCAACUCUGACAGAUGCAAUGCAGGGAAACAAUGGGGAAAGGCCCAGGGCAGUGAGGAGGAGGAGGAAGAAGUUCCAUAGCAUCCAGCUCCAUCUCCUCCUCCUCCUCCUCCAUUAGCAGCCCUGAGCUGGAGAGUCCUUCUCAACAGACCAGCUAGAAUGCGGAAAAUCCUUCUCACCUUUUCAUCCAUGUUAUUAGCUAACCUUAUCAUCUUUUGGCUUUCCUCAAAAUCCUUCAGACAAUGUGCUUGAGGAGGAACUGCUCUCCGAAAUGUGGUGGCUCCACCUGAAACAGGACUUCCUGCAAACUGUUUCAGGUGGACUUGGACUUGGAAUGACAUGGUGGUGGGGGCUUUAAAAAAAUCUUUUUGGGAUUGAGAAAUGGUUGUAUUAAGGAAACCUAAAUGGCACUUCAGAAUAAAUGAAUUCCACAAA